Molecule: transfer RNA, 91 nt
Filed under: Clostridiales bacterium
Lineage: Bacteria; Bacillati; Bacillota; Clostridia; Eubacteriales
Description: tRNA-Leu
Rfam family: tRNA
About the family: Transfer RNA (tRNA) molecules are approximately 80 nucleotides in length. Their secondary structure includes four short double-helical elements and three loops (D, anti-codon, and T loops).
Source: RNAcentral
GCCGGAGUGGCGGAACUGGCAGACGCACAGGACUUAAAAUCCUGCGGUUUUUAAGAAAACCGUACCGGUUCGAUUCCGGUCUCCGGCACCA